This 1993-nucleotide long non-coding RNA is filed under the name Homo sapiens (human). Its description in RNAcentral is "HSALNT0072117". The record is from RNAcentral. Lineage: Eukaryota; Metazoa; Chordata; Mammalia; Primates; Hominidae.
AAACUCCCACCCUCAAGAGAUCUGCCCACCUCAACAACCUAAGUAACAGAUAUAAUCUCGCUGUGUCACUCAGACUGGGGUGCCAUGGCAUGAUCACAACGCACUGAGACCUGGAGCUCUUAGGUCAAGAAAUUGUCCUGCCUCAGGGCCAGACUUAUCGUGAACUGCUGGGCCAAAGAAACCAUCCUGCCUCAACCUCCUAAAUAGCUGGAAUUAUAGGUGUGGGCCACCAAUUCUGGCUUCAUGUUCAUUUCUUCUUGCCGCUGUUACAAACUACCCUACAUUGAGUGGCUUAAUACACCACAAAUCUACUAACUAAGAGGUCUGGGGGCCAGAAGUCCAAAAUAGGUCUAUUAAGGCUAAAGUCAAGGUGCCAGCAGGACUGCAUCCCUUCUGGAGGUUCUGGAGAGAAUAUGUUCCCUUGCCUUUCCCAGUUGCUAAAGCCACUGCUAUUCUUUGGCUCAUGGCUCCUAACUGCAUCUUCAAAGCCAGAAGCAAAGCAUAUUCGAAUCUCCCUCUGUGACCUGUGCUUCCAUCAUCAAAUCUCCUUCAAUUCGGACUCUCUUACCUCCCUCUUUCACUUAUAAAGACCUCUUGUGAUUGCUGGACACAGAGGCCGUGGCUCACAACCAUAAUCCCAACAGUUUAGGAGGUCAAAGCAGGAGAAACGCUUGAGGCCAAAACUUCAGGACCAGCCUGGGAAACACGGCGAGACCCCCUCAAUUAAACAACAAAAAGAAAUAAGAAAAAAUUAGCUGGGCAUGGUAGUAUGCAUCUGUAGUUUCAGCUACUUGAGAGGUUGUGGUGAAAGGAUCGCUUUAGCCCCAGAGUUCAAGACCAGCCUCGGCAAUAUAACAAGAUCCCAUCUCUACAAAAAAAAAUACAAAAAUUAGCUGGGCAUGGAUGGUGUGCACCUGUAGUCCCAGAUGCUUGGAAGGCUGAGGUGGGAGAAUUGCUUGAGCACAGGUGGUUGAGACUGCAGUUAACUACAACACCAUCACUGCACUCCAGAUUGGGUGAAACAGAGACUCUGUGUUCAAAAGAAAAAGAAAAGAAAUACACAUUUGGUUUCUGCCCCUCAUCCUGGCACAGAGCUUCUCAAGCUCUUAUAAAGGCCUUGGUGAUGAAAGUGAUGGGGCAUCUUCUGUUUCAAUAUUUGGUCUUAGUCCCAGGUUUCUAACACAAGAGCCUCUAAGACCUUUGGGAUCACCAUAGUAAGAAUGCAUUUGGUGAUGUUACUGAGAUGACUGGGUGACUGAAAGCUCCUAGACAGCUUCAGAAAAAGGGGUGGUUGUUGUCAGAAGAACAAACCAUGUGAUUAGAGGCUUGGAACUGUCAGCCUCACCCCCUGGGCUCCAGGAAGAAAUAGUGGCCGAAGACUGACUUAAUUACCAAUGGUCAAUGAUUUCAUCAAUCAUGCCUGCAUAAUGAAGCGUUCAUAAGCGCCCUUAACAACUGGAGUUGGAGAAUGUCUGGGUUGCUGAACACAAGGGAGAUACCAGGAAGGUAACAUGCACAAUAGAGGACAUGGAAGUUCUGUACCCCUCUCGACAUACCUUGCCCUGUGUGUGUUUUUUUUUUUUUUUUGAGACAGAGUCUGGCUCUGUCUCCCAGCCUAGAGUGCCAUGGCACAAUCGUGGCUCACUGCGAACUAUGCCUCCCUAUCUCAAGCCCCAUCCUCUCAUCCUCUCACCUCAGCCUCCUGAGUAGCUAGAAUUAUAGGCACUGAGUAGCUAGAACUAUAGAUAACUGUGCCUGGCUAAUUUUUAGAAAAAUCUUUUUGUAGAGAUGCAUUUUCACCUUGUUACCCAGGCUGGUCUUAAUCUCCUGAGCACUUAAGCGAUGCUCCCGCCUCAGUCUCCCAAAGUGCUGAAAUUACAGGCAUGAGCCACUGUGCCCAGCAUGUACAUCUCUUUCACUGGCUGUUUCUGAGAUUUAGCCUUUAAAAUGAACCAGUAAAAGAAAAUAAAUUGGUGAGAUGCAGUGGUUCAUG